GACGUAGGGCGCGAGCGUUGUCCGGAUUUAUUGGGCGUAAAGAGCGUGUAGGCGGCCUUACAGGUCAGCUGUGAAAACUCGAGGCUCAACCUCGAGACGUCGGUUGAAACCGUAAGGCUAGAGUCCGGAAGAGGUGAGUGGAACUCCGAGUGUAGAGGUGAAAUUCGUAGAUAUUCGGAAGAACACCAGUGGCGAAGGCGGCUCACUGGUCCGGUACUGACGCUGAUGUGCGAAAGCGUGGGGAGCAAACAGG
This 253-nucleotide ribosomal RNA is filed under the name uncultured bacterium. RNAcentral's name for it is "partial 16S ribosomal RNA". It matches the Rfam family "Bacterial small subunit ribosomal RNA", at positions 524 to 776 of the family's 1533-position model. The record is from RNAcentral.